Molecule: ribosomal RNA, 254 nt
Filed under: uncultured bacterium
Lineage: Bacteria
Description: partial 16S ribosomal RNA
Rfam family: Bacterial small subunit ribosomal RNA
Source: RNAcentral
GACGGAGGAUGCAAGCGUUAUCCGGAAUGAUUGGGCGUAAAGCGUCCGUAGGUGGUUUUUCCAGUCGGCUGUUAAAGAGCAAAGCUCAACUUUGUAAAGGCAGUGGAAACUGAAAGACUAGAGAGCCGUAGGGGUAGAGGGAAUUCCCGGUGUAGCGGUGAAAUGCGUAGAGAUCGGGAAGAACACCGGUGGCGAAAGCGCUCUACUGGACGGCAUCUGACACUCACAGGACGAAAGCUAGGGGAGCGAAUGGG